UACGUAGGGGGCAAGCGUUGUUCGGAGUUACUGGGCGUAAAGGGUGUGUAGGCGGUUGUUUAAGUUUGGUGUGAAAUCUCCCGGCUCAACUGGGAGGGUGCGCCGAAUACUGAAUGACUUGGAGUGCGGGAGAGGAGAGUGGAAUUCCUGGUGUAGCGGUGAAAUGCGUAGAUAUCAGGAGGAACACCGGUGGUGUAGACGGCUCUCUGGACCGUAACUGACGCUGAGACACGAAAGCGUGGGUAGCAAACAGG
This 254-nucleotide ribosomal RNA is filed under the name uncultured bacterium. Its description in RNAcentral is "partial 16S ribosomal RNA". It matches the Rfam family "Bacterial small subunit ribosomal RNA", at positions 524 to 776 of the family's 1533-position model. The record is from RNAcentral.